AGCCCUAAGUGGGUGGUAAACUCCAUCUAAGGCUAAAUAUGACCACGAGACCGAUAGCGAACAAGUACCGUGAGGGAAAGUUGAAAAGCACUUUGAAGAGAGAGUUCAAGAGUACGUGAAACCGUUUAGGGGUAAACCUGAGAAACCCGAAAGGUCGAAGGAAGAAAUUCAUUCGCGUUUCGUCGCAGGCGUCGAGCGGGAUUUGUGUGACGGGUAGCACGUUCGCGUGUUUCCCGCGCCUCCCGUUCUUCGAACCGGUGACGAACGCGUGCACUUUUCUUCUGGUAGGACGUCGCGAUCCGUUGGGUGUCGGUCUACGGCUCGCGGUGGAGCCCGUUCGUCGUACUUCUCGUACGUACGAAUGGACCCGCGUGUCCCGGCUGACUCGCUCGACGGUAUACGAAAGGUUUAAGGCCGCUCUCGGAGCGUUCGGCUCGNGGCAAGCGCGCCAGAUGUGUGUCGGCGACCGGACCUAGUGCCGAUUCUGACCUCUGGUGACUGUUGGCCGCGAAGUUCUCGAACAGACCUUAUUAUUAAUACCGAUCUGCGACGCUAUAGCUUUGGGUACUUUCAG
Molecule: ribosomal RNA, 574 nt
Filed under: Leucomigus candidatus
Lineage: Eukaryota; Metazoa; Arthropoda; Insecta; Coleoptera; Curculionidae
Description: partial 28S ribosomal RNA
Rfam family: Eukaryotic large subunit ribosomal RNA
Source: RNAcentral